This 343-nucleotide unclassified non-coding RNA is filed under the name soil metagenome. RNAcentral describes it as "partial contains 5.8S ribosomal RNA, internal transcribed spacer 2, and large subunit ribosomal RNA". The stretch from base 1 to 120 matches the Rfam family "5.8S ribosomal RNA", at positions 35 to 154 of the family's 154-position model. The record is from RNAcentral.
GAUGAAGAACGUAGCGAAAUGCGAUAAGUAAUGUGAAUUGCAGAAUUCAGUGAAUCAUCGAAUCUUUGAACGCACAUUGCGCCCGCCAGCAUUCUGGCGGGCAUGCCUGUUCGAGCGUCAUUUCAACCCUCGAGCCCCCCCGGGGGCCUCGGUGUUGGGGGACGGCACACCAGCCGCCCCCGAAAUGCAGUGGCGACCCCGCCGCAGCCUCCCCUGCGUAGUAGCACACACCUCGCACCGGAGCGCGGAGGCGGUCACGCCGUAAAACGCUCAACUUUCUUAGAGUUGACCUCGGAUCAGGUAGGAAUACCCGCUGAACUUAAGCAUAUCAAUAAGCGGAGGA